ACAAUGUCACUGGUUUUCAGUUUCAACUUUCUGUCACUGUUUUGGCGUAGGGAGGAGGGGCCUGAGAGGAGGGACAAAGGGGCGUGGUUUACAGGUAAUUUGCAUAGGCUACUGGGAGAGACCGCACCUCCACAGGCAUCCUCACCGAUCCAUGUGUUAUAACCACACACCACCGCAAUGGCUUCCACAAGUUCACCUGGAACCUCCAAAUCUAUGCACCUUCGACUGGGAGGCAGCUUAUGGAGAGACUGCUGAAAAGGCUUCAGGAAGUUCUGCAACGUCAGCCUGUGGAUUUUGACUAUUUACACUUACACUGUUUUUAGUCAUGAAAUGGGACUUGUACCCUUUCGCAUAGGCCAGUACACAUUAACCCUCAUAUGCAUUAUCAUUGCAUUUACUGUAAUUUGUUAUGAAAUAGAGAGAGAAUUCUUACUUGAAUAUAUUUAUUUAUUAUUCACUGAAAAUGUAUAGAUUUAACUGUUUUGCUGGAGUCCAUACUGUAAAUGCAUGUCAUUUCAAAAACUGUUAAGGAUUAAAAUCAGUACUACAUAUAAAGUA
Long non-coding RNA from Perca fluviatilis (European perch), 558 nucleotides. RefSeq lists it as uncharacterized. The record is from RefSeq and is a predicted model, not a curated record. The transcript has 2 exons. NCBI's taxonomy places the organism in Eukaryota, Metazoa, Chordata, Actinopteri, Perciformes, Percidae.